Molecule: transfer RNA, 72 nt
Filed under: Oryctolagus cuniculus (rabbit)
Lineage: Eukaryota; Metazoa; Chordata; Mammalia; Lagomorpha; Leporidae
Rfam family: tRNA
About the family: Transfer RNA (tRNA) molecules are approximately 80 nucleotides in length. Their secondary structure includes four short double-helical elements and three loops (D, anti-codon, and T loops). Further hydrogen bonds mediate the characteristic L-shaped molecular structure. tRNAs have two regions of fundamental functional importance: the anti-codon, which is responsible for specific mRNA codon recognition, and the 3' end, to which the tRNAs corresponding amino acid is attached (by aminoacyl-tRNA synthetases). tRNAs cope with the degeneracy of the genetic code in two manners: having more than one tRNA (with a specific anti-codon) for a particular amino acid; and 'wobble' base-pairing, i.e. permitting non-standard base-pairing at the 3rd anti-codon position.
Source: Rfam by way of RNAcentral
UCUCUGGUAGUCUAGUGGUUGGGAUUUGGUGUUCUCACCACUGCAGCCUGGGUUCGAUUCCUGGUCAGGGAA